AUUGAACGCUGGCGGCAUGCCUUACACAUGCAAGUCGAACGGCAGCGGGGGAGAAGCUUGCUUUUCCUGCCGGCGAGUGGCGAACGGGUGGGUAAUACAUCGGAACGUGCCCUGUAGUGGGGGAUAACUAGUCGAAAGAUUAGCUAAUACCGCAUACGACCUGAGGGUGAAAGUGGGGGACCGCAAGGCCUCAUGCUAUAGGAGCGGCCGAUGUCUGAUUAGCUAGUUGGUGGGGUAAAGGCCUACCAAGGCGACGAUCAGUAGCUGGUCUGAGAGGACGAGCAGCCACACAGGGACUGAGACACGGCCCAGACUCCUACGGGAGGCAGCAGUGGGGAAUUUUGGACAAUGGGCGAAAGCCUGAUCCAGCAAUGCCGCGUGUGUGAAGAAGGCCUUCGGGUUGUAAAGCACUUUUGUCCGGAAAGAAAUGGCUCUGGUUAAUACCUGGGGUCGAUGACGGUACCGGAAGAAUAAGGACCGGCUAACUACGUGCCAGCCGCCGCGGUAA
This 508-nucleotide ribosomal RNA is filed under the name uncultured bacterium. RNAcentral describes it as "partial 16S ribosomal RNA". It matches the Rfam family "Bacterial small subunit ribosomal RNA", at positions 30 to 523 of the family's 1533-position model. The record is from RNAcentral.